This 497-nucleotide ribosomal RNA is filed under the name uncultured bacterium. RNAcentral describes it as "partial 16S ribosomal RNA". It matches the Rfam family "Bacterial small subunit ribosomal RNA", at positions 28 to 507 of the family's 1533-position model. The record is from RNAcentral.
GACGAACGCUGGCGGCGUGCCUAAUACAUGCAAGUAGAACGCUGAAGAGAGGAGCUUGCUCUUCUUGGAUGAGUUGCGAACGGGUGAGUAACGCGUAGGUAACCUGCCUUGUAGCGGGGGAUAACUAUUGGAAACGAUAGCUAAUACCGCAUAACAAUGGAUGACACAUGUCAUUUAUUUGAAAGGGGCAAUUGCUCCACUACAAGAUGGACCUGCGUUGUAUUAGCUAGUAGGUGAGGUAAUGGCUCACCUAGGCGACGAUACAUAGCCGACCUGAGAGGGUGAUCGGCCACACUGGGACUGAGACACGGCCCAGACUCCUACGGGAGGCAGCAGUAGGGAAUCUUCGGCAAUGGGGGCAACCCUGACCGAGCAACGCCGCGUGAGUGAAGAAGGUUUUCGGAUCGUAAAGCUCUGUUGUAAGUCAAGAACGGGUGUGAGAGUGGAAAGUUCACACUGUGACGGUAGCUUACCAGAAAGGGACGGCUAGCUACGUG